GAAGCUUCAAGUGCAGAGGCACUUGUACAUCUACUUAUCUUGAGUCUCAAUGAUGCUGUUUAUGAGUGAGCUAUUCAAAUGGAGGAAGAAACCCACGGAGAAGGAGAAAUAACAGGUCGGAGUGAUUAUGUACAGAAGGAUAGGCUCUAGCAGGAGUCCAGUGGGAAAGAAGGAAGGGAAUACAAUUAAGAAUUAUUAAUGGCAGAUCUCUAAUGAUUUCACUGGAUCCAAAGGAACAGGGCAAUACUGAGUAAGAAACACUUGAUAUACGAAAAAAGCGUGAGUGCGAAGGAAAAUACAUCAUUCUACAGAUGUUGACGGACUCUGACGGUGGGAAAGCGUCCCUCAAGAUUGAAUUGGAGUAGAAGCUGACCCUCCCACUUGCCCAGAGAUCCCCUAGCUGGUUUCAACACACAUGGGAACAAGAUAUAUUCAUGGAAUGUGCCUUUGAACCUGCAUUCAAAAGAACUCAGACAGAGUUCCAACCAAAGAGAGCAGUUUCAAACAGCCUGUGAAAUCCAAGUAGAUUUCUACCAUACAGAAGUCUAUUUCCUGAUGGAUUCUCUACCCUUUUUCCUGAAUGAUGGACAAAGAGUGAUACGUGUUAUGGAUGGAAGAUAGUGGCCAGCUCAGGAUUGAGUGUCUUCAGAAAUUAUGUCCAAAUGAAUCAUGGACUGAACCCAUUUUGUUAUACUAAAAUUUCCUUUGUGCACUAGAGGUCAUAAAAAUGUUUCACUGCCAAAUCUAGACCACUUUAUCCUCCAAUGAAAUUAUGAUUUCUAAAGCACAAAAUCUAAGAAAAACUCACAUUGGGUAGCAAGCAAGGCCAGCCAGUUCAUCAAUAGCCAGGCAUAAAAGUCUACAUGUUUCAUUUUGCCAAUAAGCUUGUCUGCUUCAUCUGGUGCCAACAACUCAAUCCUCUGAACAUCACAUAUUGAAUAAAGGAACCUUUUCAAAUCUACGGAAUACUUCAGUUCUCAUCUUUCUAAUGUAUCAUCUGAUACAAGGGUUCAUUCUAUCCUUCUAGAGUUAAUAAAUGAUUACUGUACCAAGUCUGAUAUUCUGGAGGUGCUGAAGUAAAAACUGCCCCAAACGUCCCCUCAGGACAGUGGUUAUUUUUUAAAACAAAUUUACUGUGUAUCCUGGAGUUUCUAGAAGUUCACUUAUGCAGAAAACUGAAUACAACAUUCACCACUGAGGUUUUAACUUUCCAUUCUUUG
This 1220-nucleotide long non-coding RNA is filed under the name Homo sapiens (human). RNAcentral describes it as "HSALNT0010157". Lineage: Eukaryota; Metazoa; Chordata; Mammalia; Primates; Hominidae. The record is from RNAcentral.